Long non-coding RNA from Mauremys reevesii (Reeves's turtle), 2412 nucleotides. RefSeq lists it as uncharacterized. The transcript has 7 exons. The record is from RefSeq and is a predicted model, not a curated record. Lineage: Eukaryota; Metazoa; Chordata; Testudines; Geoemydidae.
CCUCAUGUUCUUGAGUUCUACAACCAGAAGUUCCAUUACUGUGUCCCACUCUGCUCCCUCACCGUACCCCACUUACAGUGGUUGUUCUUGGUCAGUGAGGCCCCAGGGUUCAGAGGUACAUCUGUGUGAGGUCACCUCCCACUCAGGGAAGAAGACACCUGCCUUGCUCUACCAGCUGAGCACUUGCUCUGGCUGGCCACCCUGCCAGCUGCUGAGCCUCCCACAGUCAACCUGCUCGCCACUUUUGCCGGUCGCUCCUACUGGCUACCCAUCAGCCACCUCCUGCUGCCACCUGCCUCUCUGCUGUGAUCUCUGCAGAAUAAUUCUCUUCCUGCUUUAGAAGACUUCUGGACAAGAGAAGAAACUACUAACAAGACCACUGAGGAAAGAUAACAGAGGAUGGGAAAGCCUCUGAAGAUGUUGCAUUUGUAAUGCUCUGAAAGAGGGGACCUGAGUGAGAAUUGCCAAUACUACAAACUCCAUGGAUCGUACAACAGCAUAGGAAUGACAUUUCCAAUUUACAUCAGUGCAGUGAAGAUCAGAAUCUGGUCCAGUGGGUCCAAAAGGAAUAAAAACGGCUUCCCCACAAAUAUACCAGCUGACCUUCACAAAGAUACAAAUUCCAGUUUACAUCGCUUCAGAUGCAAGUGAGUGAGUCAGCACCCUCAGGGAAUAAUGAGGAAUUCAUUAAUACCACACAAAUGAAUGAUGUAGAGGAAGCAAUGUGUGUUUCUCUUCCCACAAAGAGAGAAAGAAAUAGACGACAAGAGCACCAAGCAGAAACCCAAGAAUUUUGGGAAGUAAUCUGACAUGAUAGAUGGGACUUGAAUCCUUACUCUCUUGGGCUGUGUGAUCUCAUUAACUUUCACAAACUAAGACAUGUCUGGCCUGGUCAGUACUUGGAGACCUCUAAGCAAAGCAGGGAUGCUACAUGGAAUGGGACUGAUGAUUUCUCAGGUGGCUAUCUUCACGAACAAUCAGAACCACUGAAAGCACUGUGUUGUUGAAGGCUGUACUUGCCCUACACUGAAGGGGUUUAAGCAGCAUUCUUAGCAGCAGAAGCCAUGCCCCCCCGACCCUGCUGGGAAUGCUCCAACUGCUGCUGCAAUAUAAAAGGGAGAAACCUAGCUUAGUCUGAGCUGGCUGCCGAGGAGGAAGGAUGCACCUCUCUGGCUCCAGCUGAGGAGCAGCCGGAAGCCCAGGCCACGAGGGCGGGGGAUGCAGAGAUCCAGACAGGCACCCAGGUACCGGCAGACACCCCAGAGAGAUUGCUGCCACCGAGGACUGCACUACCCAAGAGGCCUGGAGACUCUGGGGACACCCUAACUUCAACUGCAGGAGUCAAGUGCCUCCAGUGCUUGUGCUGGGGGAACCAUUACCUAUCAAGGGCGCCCAGAGGCUUUAGAUCUGAGUGGACUGAUGAUUAACUGACACCAUUUUUCUAGAUAUACACUGCCUGCUCCGAAACCUCCUGAAGUCAGUGGUUCGCUAAAAAUGAAGUAAGAACCCUUAAUUCUGCACAUCCUGGUCCCUGAGAAUUAAAAUCAAACCCUUCCCGUUAUCUCAAUAUAUUUGUGAUCUGCAUCUUUUUAUUAACCCUUUGGCAGUGGGUGAGUGCAUGCGGCCAGGAGCACGCUAUGCAAACACAGACAUUUAAAUUGCUGGAGAAGAGAGUAAUACUGGAAACUCACAUGCUUAGCUACUGGACUGAAGGCGGUAAGCUGGGGUUAGUCAUUAGUAUUAGCAACCACUGUCUUUUUGUUUUAAUAGAAGAAAAGUUUUGUUCCCUAAAUUGGCUCACAUGUUGCUAAUGAAUGUAUAACAAAGACCCUUUUGUGUAAAACAUUAUCAUUUUACACAGGUGAUAUCAGUCAUAAUCUUGGAAGGGCUGAUGCACUGGAGUUCUUUAAAAUUCCAUUUUUUUUCCUAGAGUCUGUACUCCAUAUAUUACUUGUCUGACCUGAAAAGCAAAAGGACUCCACAUGCUGUAGGGUUCAGUAGAAAUGAUUGCUGGAAUUUUGGAGUACAACAGUAGGACCGUGAUCCUCACAAGUCACACUCUUUGUUACUGUAACACACAAAGAGUGCAUAAGGAUCAGAUUUCCAAGCCAGCUCUUCUAUUUUGUUCUGUCUUUGUGCUACAUUUUGUUUCUCCCUUUCUGUCUGUAUGAGGAUCACCUAGUGCAGCCGACAUUAUUAUUAGCCAAGAGUUUUGUGGUAAUUUGAACAGAGGUUACUAUAUACUGUUAAAAAAAUACUUGCACAUAUAAGGUGUGCCAUUGUACUUAAUCAGAAGUGCUGAAAGUCAAUGGAAGUAUGCAGACUGAUGUAUAUAAAAACAUCUCUACUUAUGACAACCAGUUCUGCAUCUUCAGUGCAUUACAACACUCUAUCAGAGGAGACUCAGGUAUU